GUAAAGUAGAGGAGCACAGAGCCAUAACAAAUCAAAAUAUGCCAGUGUCCAAAUACUUUUUUUCUGCAGUACAGUUGACCAAAGCUAUACUUGGAUACAAGACUGAUGACUCAAUAACCAGUAUUGACAACAGUGAAGAUGGUUAUGUCCCAAGGCCAUCAGGAUCAUAAGAGGAAGGCAAUUUCUAUGAAGAAAAUCUGACCGGUAUGCCUAUACCUUACAUACACAUAGACCUAUUCUUAAUUACAAUGUCCUUUUCGAAAAUGACAUGUUUUCCACUGAUGUUUUCCAGGAGACAUGUCAGCGAUUCGGGCCAAACAGCCAAUAACCAAGGGAAAGCCAUGAAAGACAGAGGGAAGUCCAGGACUAGGACACAAGAGACCAGUCAGAACAGUUCUGAGAACAGCCUGACUGACAUCCUCAGUGUCCGGUGUGCCAGUGAUAUUGUCCUACAGCCCAUGCCACCAGGGAGAAAGAAUAGCCAAUCCCACUUCCACAACAAAGAUGUGACUAAAGAGAGAGCUGACUUGGGAAGGCUUCCAAUGGCCCCUCCACCCAUCAGCCUCCCAAUGCUCACCGUGACCUCGCUCACUGUCCAAAGGAUCAAAAACACCCUCAAAGUACCUCUCAUGCCUCUCUGCAGCUGGAGGGACAGAUGGGUAGCAAGCGUCUGGGUCCGGUCAAAACCAAAACCGGAUGUUUUUUUUUACCUCCAGCCAGAAGCAGGAGCCAGAGGUUAAAUCAAGCAGAUCACAGACACCAGGAAGGCCCAAUGUAUGCUCCACUGCAGCCAAGGAAGUAGCUCCUUUAUCUGGGACUCCAUGCAGCCAGUCUGAGGUCAGGAUCCAGGCCAUUACGUUAUUAUAAACUAGUGUUUUUCCACUUUCAAAGGACAUUCUAAUUCCUGGCAAAAUGUUCAUAAAUUGAUAAAAAUGAAAGAUUCACAGACUAAGGCCUACCUUCAAUUUGGACUUCCAGAUAAUUUGCACACGUAGUAUUUGACUACAGUUUCAACAAUAUAUUAUUGAAAACAGAAACACAAGACCUUGUUUUUAAAAAAUACUUUUUUUGUCACAAAUCACAAACCAUAACAGUUUUUUCUGACAUUUAUUGAUCAAAUAAAGUUCUCAUAAAAUAAAAGUAAUGUGUUUGAGAUUAUUUAAUUAAAUUAUAGGUCCUACCUCAGUUCAGGAAGAGCGUCAAUGACCUGUCUAUGGAAUGUCUUAUUUUAACAAAAGAAUGCUUCAUUAUGACAUCAUGUACAUUAUGACAUAGCAGCCGUCCACAUCAUAAAAGUUUGUCUAAACCACUUGAAUAGGCAUGAAAUGUAAAAUUAAAUACAAUAGGG
Molecule: long non-coding RNA, 1348 nt
Organism: Oncorhynchus tshawytscha (Chinook salmon)
Lineage: Eukaryota; Metazoa; Chordata; Actinopteri; Salmoniformes; Salmonidae
Source: Ensembl